UGGCUCAUUAAAUCAGUUAUCGUUUAUUUGAUAGUACCCUACUACAUGGAUACCUGUGGUAAUUCUAGAGCUAAUACAUGCGCAAAACCCCGACUUCGGAAGGGGUGUAUUUAUUAGAUAAAAAACCAAUGCCCUUCGGGGCUCCUUGGUGAUUCAUAAUAACUUCACGAAUCGCAUGGCCUUGCGCCGGCGAUGGUUCAUUCAAAUUUCUGCCCUAUCAACUUUCGAUGGUAGGAUAGUGGCCUACCAUGGUGGCAACGGGUAACGGGGAAUUAGGGUUCGAUUCCGGAGAGGGAGCCUGAGAAACGGCUACCACAUCCAAGGAAGGCAGCAGGCGCGCAAAUUACCCAAUCCCGAUACGGGGAGGUAGUGACAAUAAAUACUGAUACAGGGCUCUUUUGGGUCUUGUAAUUGGAAUGAGAACAAUCUAAAUCCCUUAACGAGGAACAAUUGGAGGGCAAGUCUGGUGCCAGCAGCCGCGGUAAUUCCAGCUCCAAUAGCGUAUAUUAAAGUUGUUGCAGUUAAAAAGCUCGUAGUUGAACCUUGGGCCCGUCCUGCCGGUCCGCCUCACCGCGAGUACUGGUCCGGAUGGGCCUUUCUUUCUGGGGAAUCCCAUGGCCUUCACUGGCUGUGGCGGGGAACCAGGACUUUUACUGUGAAAAAAUUAGAGUGUUCAAAGCAGGCCUUUGCUCGGAUACAUUAGCAUGGAAUAAUAGAAUAGGACGUGCGGUUCUAUUUUGUUGGUUUCUAGGACCGCCGUAAUGAUUAAUAGGGAUAGUCGGGGGCGUCAGUAUUCAGCUGUCAGAGGUGAAAUUCUUGGAUUUGCUGAAGACUAACUACUGCGAAAGCAUUCGCCAAGGAUGUUUUCAUUAAUCAGGGAACGAAAGUUAGGGGAUCGAAGACGAUCAGAUACCGUCGUAGUCUUAACCAUAAACUAUGCCGACUAGGGAUCGGGCGGGGUUUCUAUGAUGACCCGCUCGGCACCUUACGAGAAAUCAAAG
RNAcentral lists this ribosomal RNA (1001 nucleotides) under Talaromyces flavus. Its description in RNAcentral is "SSU rRNA". It matches the Rfam family "Eukaryotic small subunit ribosomal RNA", at positions 94 to 1103 of the family's 1831-position model. The record is from RNAcentral. Lineage: Eukaryota; Fungi; Ascomycota; Eurotiomycetes; Eurotiales; Trichocomaceae.